Long non-coding RNA from Prunus persica (peach), 716 nucleotides. RefSeq lists it as uncharacterized. Lineage: Eukaryota; Viridiplantae; Streptophyta; Magnoliopsida; Rosales; Rosaceae. The transcript has a single exon. The record is from RefSeq and is a predicted model, not a curated record.
CCCAACCUGGAGCCUUCUAUACGCGGCUAGUACAGACUACAGAGCAACUAGGAAAAGCCCCACUUCCUCUCGAACUUUCCAUCUCCUUUCCCCCAAAACCCUAUAUAUUUCAAUUUUCUGUACAAGUCCCUCAUAUCAAGUACCUUCUCUCUAUUUUCUCUCUAAAGUCAAACUUUUUCAACUUCAAGAAUUGGGUUUUCAAGUUUUGGUUCAUCUGAGCUGUAAAACACAGAACUUGUACAAGCAGCCAUGAAUUCCGUGUUCAGUUCGUUUGAUGCUUUCUUCUACGCUGAGUUUUUGGGACAGACGGUGAAGGCUUCCUUCCCUACACAGCAGCAGCAGAAGAGUACUGGGACUGUGCUGAACAACAAGGCAUCAGUUGCAGAUAAUUUGAAUGGUGCAAAGCAAGAGGGCAACAGGGAGGCCUCCAUCUCCAUGCCUCAACAAGCUCAGCCUGUGAAGAAGAAGCAGAGCCAGAAGGCACCGCCACGGUUCGCGCUGGAGUUGGAUGGGCUCAACUGCUUUGAGACCAUCGUCUAUCAUUAACAACUACAACAGUCUCUGGAAUUUUAAUCUCAGAUAUUCAGAUUGUUACACAGAAAAAAAAAAAAAAAAAAAAAACAUUUGUUGUAAACGUUGAUAUAGGAUAUAUUACAAUACAAUUUUUUCCCCACAUUUUGGAUCAAUAUUGAUUGAUUUUUUUUUAAUUGCUGAAA